Molecule: long non-coding RNA, 2520 nt
Filed under: Nicotiana tabacum (common tobacco)
Lineage: Eukaryota; Viridiplantae; Streptophyta; Magnoliopsida; Solanales; Solanaceae
Description: long non-coding RNA (NTAB_LNC013646)
Source: RNAcentral
CCACCGGCGCUACAUCUUUCAUCACCGCUUUUUUGCCUCGCCCGUCUCAGGUAAUUCGUUUAUGAAUUUCGUCGAUGUCUAUCUAACGUACGAAAAAUUCAACUUUACUCUUCUAUAUUGCAGUUACAUAUAAAACGUAGACGAUAAAACGAAGAUAGGUUGACUGAGAUGGUUUUGCCAUACAUAUGUAGACCUCCAAAUCACUAUUCUGAUGAAUGUGCUACAAGUUGACAAUGUAAUAACCUCGCGGAUUUAAUGUGAACUUAACUAAGAAUAAGACUAAGACAUAAUAAUAAAAAUAAAGGGUCCAUAUAAAAUGGCGGAGCUAAAGUAAGGAAGGAGUUCAAUUGAAUUCCCUUCCUCCGCAAUUACAUUGUGCAAUUAGGGUAAAAACAAAUUGUUUUUACCUAGGAUUCCUAGAAACAAUUGAAUCCCGUUAUGGAUUCCUAGAUCGGUGGUGGUCAGGCUCGUUGCUAUGCUUUUUCGAGUAGACCCAAGGCGGUGGCCUCAGAAACUGUGAUCAUAUGUAUUGUUUUGGUUUGUCGUAGAGAUGCUUCUGUAUUGUUUGAUCCAGGGACUAUCUAUUCAUAUGUGUCAUCAUAUUUUACCCCUUAUUUGGAUAUGCCUCGUUGUUCUCUACUUCUCUUGAUAUUCAUGUUGUUCCUGUAUGUACACCUGGUGCUGAUGGUGAUUUUAUUGUGGUGGAUCGUGUAUAUCGGUCUUGUAUGGUUACUACUGGGGUUUACUUCCGCAUAUAAGUGAUACCAAAUAGUGGUGAUUAACUCUUUAGUUUAUUUUUGUUAUUUUUGUCGGGAGUCCUUAUAAUCUAGUUAGGACUUGUAUAUCAAUGUAGGAAUAAGGACGAGGGUUAAAAAGCCCCACUCGUCUUUAAAGUCGUUUCAGUUAGUACUAUUUCAGUUACUACUAGAAUGAAAUAAUCAUAUAACUGAACCUAAUCAGUUUGGGAUUGAGGAGUAGUUGAUUGCUUGAUUAGUAUAUGAGAAAUAAAAACAAACUGUACAAAAAAUAGCAAAAAUGAAAUUCAUUCAGUAUGUUUUAAUUAUGACUUUCUUUUCUGUUAUAAGGAUGUUUUAAUUUUGACUUCUGCCGCAGAAAGAAGCAAUUGCUCAGAAACCUUUUACUACUUUGUUUUGUUAGGUUUCAUUUUGAAUGUCUAAAGAGGAAAGAGAAAAUGUGUUCUUAAGAAAUAUGGAGUAAAGCAAAGACAAGAAAAGUAAUGUUCUUGUAAUUGUUUGUUUGACUACGAAAGAAAAGUUCAAAGGGAAGUAAAAUGUUUAUGUUACAACUUAAAAAUCCUUGUAGAUUUGCCAUGAAAAAAUUUCCUGCAGGGAAAUUUGAAAGGACGGAUUGCACAACAUUCCAGUUAUCCGAAGGCUAGGAAAAUGUUGAAUAGCUGACUCUUCAAUCCAGCUUUUUUGGAAUAAAUUGCACAGGUUAUGAUUAUGAAACUCUUCUACAGUUAUGCCUGUAUGGUAUAAGAUGUGAUUCUCUUUUGCGCAGAAAUAGCAGAACUUUCCUUUAGCUGUUUCUAUUUGUUCUCCCUUUCUCAAGUCUUUUCCUUGAUUGGUAUGACCAACUGGAUAAUUUAUUAGAAAUGAUUUCUAUACAGAGCAGGGCACAUUAGUUCACCAGAAAGAUGAGUCAUCAAUAGAGUAUUUUCUUUGUCUUUCGUUUUGCACCUGUGCUGCACUGCUAUUGUGUCCUGAAAUUUAGAGGGUACUGAACUAUCUGAGGACUGAGAGUGUCAUCCUUCGCCCCAUAAUUCAACCAGGAAUUCAAGGCAGAUUGAAUUGCAUAUAGUAAAGAACAAAAUGGUUUUGUACAUAGCUUCAUCCAAGGUGACGAUGAAAUACCAAAUGAUUACCUGAACUCCUGCAUGUUGCGGAAGCCAAAUGUAUAUGGUGUGAAUGAGUCACAACUAUUAUACCAAAAAUUAUGACAGCCACCAAAUAAUAAAUAAGAUAAUAAAGCAACAAUAAAAGGAACACCAGAAUUUACGAGGUUCGGCCAAUUUUGUCUACUUUCUCGGACACAACCAAUAUUUUAUUUCACUCCAAAAAUACAAGUGAAAUAAUACUAAAGAGAGAAGAUACAAAUGCCUUAAAAAGAUAAGAAGACAAAUGAGAGGUGUAUCAAAAUCCUAAACAUUAAGCCUCCUUUUAUAGGGAAAAAUUCCCUACCAAAUGGUUAAACCACCGAUGUGAGAUUUGCCAAAUUCAACAAAUCUCCACCUUGGCAAAAUUUCACAUCUUCAAUUUUCUCUCAAUAACAAAUUUUGGUUGUGUCUUCAUCUUCAAUCUUCAGUGUUCAACAAUGUUGAUCAAAUCCAAACAACGUUGAAACUUGACCGCAAUCACCACUUUUGUCAGCAUAUUAGUAGGAUUCUCUGUAGUAUAAAUUUUCUUCACCAUGACUCCACAUUCUUCUAUGAUUUCUCGUAUGAAAUGAUAUCGAACAUCAAUGUGUUUCGUCCUUGCAUGAUAAACUUGGUUCUUUGCU